UUUAAUUAUUAGGUGAUCGAGGUCAGCUAUUUUUCUGCAUCCAGCAGCCACAAUAGUCAUUGGUGUACUGCCACAGGAGGAGUUAUUUUACAGAGCAACCUGUUUUCUUCCUCGCAGGUUUAACGUCGAUUAUUUAAUUGUUUUACUAUCUUUUCUAAAUUUAAAAUCUAGAACUCCGCAUGUGUUAGUAAUAGUGUGGACCUUGUUAGAAAUUGUGUUAAUUUAAAUUUUUGAGAUUAAUAAAUGAAGAUUUGUAUGGUAUUUAAACAGUUUGUAAAUGAGGUAACAGGGUUGAGCUGGGCUCCCCUGAUUUUAGUUUCUGAAAAUUUCUGGGCUAAGUUGGCCCGAAAUGAAAUUAUAACAGUUUGAUUUAAA
This is a long non-coding RNA of Hevea brasiliensis (rubber tree), 375 nucleotides long. RefSeq lists it as uncharacterized. The record is from RefSeq and is a predicted model, not a curated record. NCBI's taxonomy places the organism in Eukaryota, Viridiplantae, Streptophyta, Magnoliopsida, Malpighiales, Euphorbiaceae. The transcript has 2 exons.